AUCUUCUCCACUCUUCACUUGAUCUCAUCUUAAAUACGAUUAAGUAUAGGAUCAAUUUCCAACAAAAAUCUGGAAUUCACCAGAGCUUCAUCCUCAUCGCGAAAUCGACCCGCCAUGGGUUCAUCGUCAUUUCCUGAUGAAGAUGUAGAUGGGUUCAGACUCUGAGUGACGCUCCCGUGUAACGAACGUAAGCUAAACAUGAAUUUGAAGGGGCGGGAACCAAUUAAAACCGG
Molecule: RNA transcript, 233 nt
Organism: Arabidopsis thaliana (thale cress)
Lineage: Eukaryota; Viridiplantae; Streptophyta; Magnoliopsida; Brassicales; Brassicaceae
Exons: 2
Source: RefSeq